AAGGAUCAUUAUCGAAUCGAGGGGGGGAAUGAUCACUGAAGAUCAAAGACUGUCGCUGGCUUCUUGCAUGUGCACGUCCUAGAUUUCCUUUGGUUUGACCCUCUUUUACAUUCAUACACCUGUGCACCUGUUGUAGGUCGCUCGCAAGAGCGAUCUAUGUCUUUCUACACCCUUUGGCGUAUGUCUACAGAAUGUAUCAAAAAUAUAUAUACAACUUUCAGCAACGGAUCUCUUGGCUCUCGCAUCGAUGAAGAACGCAGCGAAUUGCGAUAAGUAAUGUGAAUUGCAGAUUUUCAGUGAAUCAUCGAAUCUUUGAACGCACCUUGCGCUCCUUGGUAUUCCGAGGAGCAUGCCUGUUUGAGUGUCAUUUGAAUUCUCAACCAUGUCUUGCUCAUGGAUUGGACUUGUGGGGGUUGCUGGCGGCCGAAAGCUAUCAGCUCCUCUGAAAUGCAUUAGCAAAUCGUCUUUGAUGUGCACGGCCUUUGGCGUGAUAAUGAUCGUCGCGGGCUGGAGCAUCUGAUAUGCUUCCAAUCCUGUCGUGCUUAGCUACUAGUCGGUGUACGACGAACGCGGCACUUUCCUUCAGACUUGACCUCAAAUCAGGUAGGACUACCCGCUGAACUUAAGCAUAUCAAUAAGCGGAGGAAAAGAAACUAACAAGGAUUCCCCUAGUAACUGCGAGUGAACCGGGAUGAGCUCAAAUUUUGAAUCUGGCGGUCUUGAGGCCGUCCGAGUU
Molecule: ribosomal RNA, 736 nt
Filed under: uncultured fungus
Lineage: Eukaryota; Fungi
Description: eukaryotic LSU rRNA
Rfam family: 5.8S ribosomal RNA (bases 213-367)
Source: RNAcentral